Molecule: ribosomal RNA, 1755 nt
Filed under: human gut metagenome
Description: bacterial LSU rRNA
Rfam family: Bacterial large subunit ribosomal RNA
Source: RNAcentral
UCGAUUCCCUGAGUAGCGGCGAGCGAAACGGGAAGAGCCCAAACCAACAAGCUUGCUUGUUGGGGUUGUAGGACUCCAAUAUGGUAGUCUGUUAGUAUAGUUGAAGGAUUUGGAAAAUUCCGCUAAAGAGGGUGAAAGCCCCGUAGACGAAAUGCUAACAACACCUAGGAGGAUCCUGAGUACGGCGGAACACGAGAAAUUCCGUCGGAAUCCGCGGGGACCAUCCCGCAAGGCUAAAUACUCCCUAGUGACCGAUAGUGAACCAGUACCGUGAGGGAAAGGUGAAAAGCACCCCGGAAGGGGAGUGAAAUAGAUCCUGAAACCGUGUGCCUACAACAAGUCAAAGCUCGUUAAUGAGUGAUGGCGUGCCUUUUGUAGAAUGAACCGGCGAGUUACGAUUGCAUGCGAGGUUAAGUCGAAGAGACGGAGCCGCAGCGAAAGCGAGUCUGAAUAGGGCGAAUGAGUAUGUAGUCGUAGACCCGAAACCAUGUGAUCUACCCAUGUCCAGGUUGAAGGUGCGGUAAAACGCACUGGAGGACCGAACCCACGUACGUUGAAAAGUGCGGGGAUGAGGUGUGGGUAGCGGAGAAAUUCCAAACGAACUUGGAGAUAGCUGGUUCUCUCCGAAAUAGCUUUAGGGCUAGCCUCGGAAUUGAGAAUGAUGGAGGUAGAGCACUGUUUGGACUAGGGGCCCAUCUCGGGUUACCGAAUUCAGAUAAACUCCGAAUGCCAUUCAUUUAUAUCCGGGAGUCAGACUGCGAGUGAUAAGAUCCGUAGUCGAAAGGGAAACAGCCCAGACCACCAGCUAAGGUCCCAAAAUAUAUGUUAAGUGGAAAAGGAUGUGGGGUUGCACAGACAACUAGGAUGUUGGCUUAGAAGCAGCCACCAUUUAAAGAGUGCGUAAUAGCUCACUAGUCGAGUGACCCUGCGCCGAAAAUGUACCGGGGCUAAACAUAUUACCGAAGCUGUGGACUACACCAUUAGGUGUAGUGGUAGGAGAGCGUUCUAAGGGCGUUGAAGGUCGAUCGUGAGGACGGCUGGAGCGCUUAGAAGUGAGAAUGCCGGUAUGAGUAGCGAAAGACAGGUGAGAAUCCUGUCCACCGUAUGACUAAGGUUUCCUGGGGAAGGCUCGUCCGCCCAGGGUUAGUCGGGACCUAAGCCGAGGCCGAUAGGCGUAGGCGAUGGACAACAGGUUGAUAUUCCUGUACCAGUUGUUUUUGUUUGAGCAAUGGAGGGACGCAGUAGGCUAAGGAAUGCAUGCGAUUGGAAGUGCAUGUCCAAGCAAUGAGUCUUGAGUAGAGUUAAAUGCUUUACUCUUUAAGGACAAGUUGUGACGGGGAGCGAAAUAAUAGUAGCGAAGUUCCUGAUGUCACACUGCCAAGAAAAGCUUCUAGUGAGAAAACAACUGCCCGUACCGUAAACCGACACAGGUAGUCGAGGAGAGUAUCCUAAGGUGAGCGAGCGAACUCUCGUUAAGGAACUCGGCAAAAUGACCCCGUAACUUCGGGAGAAGGGGUGCUGACUUCGGUCAGCCGCAGUGAAUAGGCCCAAGCGACUGUUUAUCAAAAACACAGGUCUCUGCAAAAUCGUAAGAUGAAGUAUAGGGGCUGACGCCUGCCCGGUGCUGGAAGGUUAAGAGGAUGGGUUAGCUUCGGCGAAGCUCAGAAUUGAAGCCCCAGUAAACGGCGGCCGUAACUAUAACGGUCCUAAGGUAGCGAAAUUCCUUGUCGGGUAAGUUCCGACCCGCACGAAAGG